This 256-nucleotide ribosomal RNA is filed under the name uncultured bacterium. Its description in RNAcentral is "partial 16S ribosomal RNA". It matches the Rfam family "Bacterial small subunit ribosomal RNA", at positions 524 to 776 of the family's 1533-position model. The record is from RNAcentral.
UACGUAGGGUGCAAGCGUUGUCCGGAAUUAUUGGGCGUAAAGAGCUCGUAGGCGGUCUGUCGCGUCGGCUGUGAAAAACUCGGGGCUCAACCCCGAGCCUGCAGUCGAUACGGGCAGACUAGAGUGCGGUAGGGGAGACUGGAAUUCCUGGUGUAGCGGUGAAAUGCGCAGAUAUCAGGAGGAACACCGGUGGCGAAGGCGGGUCUCUGGGCCGUAACUGACGCUGGAGGAGCGAAAGCCGUGGGGAGCAAACAGG